GGGCCUCCAUCUUUCCGACUAAUUGUUUCCCCUUUCAUUUCACAACACGAAGGAGAGAGGGAGUCGAAGGAGAGGAGGCCCCUCGCCGAGCGACAGACGAGAGGUACAACCAUUGGAAGUCCAUGAUCUCAUUGACUACGAAUUCUUCGCCAGUGCUUUCAGUAUUCUCUCCUCUCUUUCUUUUCCCCUUCACUCUUCUUCUUAUUCCUUUCAUGAGAUUCUUGGUCCUUCUGGGGUUUUGAAUGAAUGCCGAGAGUUUCUGACCUAGGGCUUCGAUUCUUGCUUCACUUUUUUUAGAGUUCCAGGGGAAAUCAACCGUUUCUUAUUCCAAUGGAGGUUUUCAUCGAUUCUUGGAGGGUUUUAGCUGGCGGGGUUUUGAUUCUUCGUUAGUUUCUUCAAUUUUUUGAUUCGCAUUAUCAUUGAAUUUUUCUGUUUUAGUUUAAAAAAGCUGAAACUAAGGGAAGUAACGCAAAGCCUGUAGCUUAACCGAGUAGAUGAUGAAGAAAGAGAGGAUCUUGGUGCACGCCGAUGGACAUAACGGUAGUUUGGACCAUGUUUAGUAUUUAUUUAUUUUGUUUAUUUUUAAUUUUCAGAGUGCGACUAAAAAUACGGGGCAACAUUGCGUCCUUUAACCGAAUAUGAAUGAAACUUUUAACCAAAAAGAGGGUAGAGGGACCUUAUCAAUGAUGGUGGUUUAGAUGCAUGGGGAGGACUAGGAAGUGAUGAUGAGAGGAGAGGAUCGGGAGAAUCUGGGGUGUGAUGGUGAUGAGAAAGAAGUAAGGAAUAGGAGUAAGAAGAUUAGAAGAUAUAAAAGAUAUAUGAAAAUUUCAUUAAUUUAUAUAUCCUUUAUUUUAGCAUUGCCGGAUGACAAAUUCUCCAACUCAGUGGACUCUGUUGGAAGAGCUUAGGCGAAAAUAUAUUCUGUUCUAAUAUUUUAUCACCAGAAAAUCUAGAGAUAAUGUUUUUUGAUGCAAGUGAACUAGUUUUAAUAUCACUACUGCAGCUGCAAUAAUAUUGUGGAUAAUAUUUCCUGAGGUUUUAUUCCUUUUCACUCACUGUCACCGAAAAUCACAUAAUUGGUUCUUGUUUCUUCUUCACUUAUUCUUGUUGUUUGUGUAGGAACACUAUUUGCAUAUUCUUUUCUUUAAAUCCAUUGGUAGUGCGAACUAUAUUUGUGUCUGGAAGCAAUGUUUUUUUCUUUCUUACUUCCGAGUCUUUUAAUCUUAUCACUGUGAAACUGAGGAGAAUUUGGUACUUUGAACAUUUUUUUUCAAUGAAAUCCUUAAUUAGAUCUGUAAAGAAAAUGAAAAAAGACAUUGGUAUUUCUCCACGAAAAAGGCAUAUGAACAAUUAAAAUCAUAGUAAGAUAGUUUGAACUCUGCCUGAUGAAUAUAUUUGUAGAAUGAAGUCCAUGAAUUCCCACAAAAACAAAAAAAAUACUCAUGUCACACAUUUCUAUUGACCUUCAAUUGUGACUGUAAUUUUAUUGCUCGAAGACGAAUUUCUUUCCAUCAAAGGAGUUGCUAUGUAGAAACCUGGCCUUUGAGGCUGAGGUAGCAGUGCACUUUCAGUGCCUAACAUGAGCACUACCUCUGCCAUUGUUGGUCUAUACUCACUCCAUUCUUGCACACACAAGAGAGCCACUUGGAUAUACCGUAAUAUUUUAAACUCCUGAUAUGCAGAUCCCACUGCUUCAUCAAGUAUUUCCAAGCAUCUACCUUCUGUCCAUAGUCUCCAUGCCUGUGAUAAUCCACGUACAUUUAGAAUGAACAACUAGAAGUUAUAUCUAGAAUGAUGACAUUUUUGCAUUCAAGUACUCACAUGUCCUAAAAGGUCUACACGAGCUUCUGCUUGAUUGAUCAUUCUAUUCUUCUUACCACUUAAGAUUUCUAACACUAGAACACCAAAGCUGAAGACAUCUGAUUUCACUGAAAAGAUACCACCCAUUGCAUACUCUGGUGACGUAUAUCCACUGCAUGUCAUUAGCAAAAUUAGUUCAUGCAACUAGGAUAUUGCACUCAGAUUUAUACUUUGUGAGUUGAUACACUUAUGUACUUGCUAUGUCCCAACAACUCUAUUUGUAUUCUCUUCAAUUUGGUCAACCUUAAAAAUUCUUGCAGUACCGAAGUCUGAGAUUUUUGGGUUCAGCUCCUCAUCAAGAAGAAUAUUGCUGGCCUUCAAAUCUCUGUGAAUAAUUUUCAACCUAGAGUCUUGGUGAAGGUAAAGAAGUCCUCGAGCAAUUCCUAUGAUGAUGACGAGGCGCUUUUGCCAGUUCAAAAGUGCACUUCUUUUCCUAUCUGGUCCAAAGUUACACUCCUUAUAGUUUGACAAAUGUAAUCUGAAAUUCAACUUAGCUACUUAUUCUUUACCCUUUUCCCUCCGAGAUAAGUCCACUCCAUAUUUUAAAUAAAUAUAAUCUAUCAUUUACAAAAACUUAUACUCUUUAAAUCCAUCAUUAAACUUCUAAUCAUAAGUUGCACUUAUAUUUAGCACAAGAAAGAAUGCCUUAUAUGCUAAUCCUUAUGCAAUUUGAAAUAAAAUCUUUUUGCAUGUUAGUUUAUUAGCGAGGACAUGAGGUUCAGAUUCUGCCUAUUUCAUUUCAAUAGGAGACCUAAUACGUAGUGGUGAAUUAAGGGUAAAGGAAGUGUCAAGUUACAGGAAUCAGAUUAUCUACUGCCACCAUCACCACCACCUCUGCUCAUCUUUUAAAAAACCAACUUGAUUACCUAAAAUGCAUUCUGUCAUAAUUUUAUUCCCUAGACAUUCAUACCACAUACACCUUUUUUUUGAAUGAUAAAAAUCUAUAUAGUGUAUGAAAAGUCAGAUAGAUAUUCUUCAUGGCUGUCUAAGCUUACUUAGCAAUUAUUAUGUUUGAAAUUAUUUCACCUUAUAUGGAAAAAGAAUAUAUCCAUCUUAAUUGUUAAUCCAUUGCCUCAUCAAUCCAGUCUUGGUUUUCUAAAAUCCUGCAUGAUUGACCUACACAGAAGACCUAAGCAGAAGUCCGAAUAUAAAUUAUGAUCAACUAAAUCAAAUAUUGCCACUAAGACUGUGAGAUGUCCAUCAAACAUUGCAUUGUAUAUAAAGCAUAAAGUAGUCAAAUGGUUCAAGGAUAAAGACCAAACGGCAUAUGAAAUAGUCCAAACUUGUAUUUUGCAAGUACUCAUACACCAGUAAUCGUUCCUCUCCUUUAAUGCAGCAGCCAAGAAGGCGAACAAGAUUUCUGUGCUGAAGUUUGGCUACCAGCAACACCUCAUUUGUGAAUUCAUGUAUGCCCUGCACAGAAUCUUUGGACAACCUCUUGACAGCAAUCUUUUCUCCAUCUUCCAAUUGACCCUGACAAUUGCUAUAUUUAGAUGAGUUCCACAAUGCUCUUUUUUCAAAGAGUUUGUGUCUUGCAUAACUGUAGGAUCUAAUAGCAGUAUGCCCUGUAGUCAAAAAAAUUACCUUGCAAACAGGGCCAAAUACACCCUCUCCAAGUUUAUUGUCUUCAGAAAAGUUGUUGGUGGCAGUUCUUAUUAUAUGUAUAUCAAAUAAAGGUAACUCUAGCUUGUUUCCUCUGCUUUCCCUUAGUGGGUACUAACUGUUUCACCUAGGAUGAAAAUUUAGUAUAACAAGAUCAAUUAUGUGAACUUCUUGAAUUCAACUUUACUUGCAUCUUCAUUCCAAAAAGUUUCAAAACAAAAAGAAAAAUAAUAUUUGUAAAUAGAACAACAAAAGUUUCAUUCAAGAUAGCAAUUAUUUUAAUUCACUCACACUCACAAGUAUGUAUUCACAUGGGUACAAAUGUGGAAUUCAUGGUUGACAGAGUGCUGGGUAUCAGGAGCUAAAGAAUAUACUGGGUAACAAUCAGAGCUCAGCAAGGUCUGUCCCAGAAACCAUGCUUAGAUUGAUUGAACCUUGGGUGUCACUCUGCACUGUAAAGCAAGCUGAAAGUCAUGCCAUGGUUCAGUAGAGAUUAUCGAGUAUAUUGUAAUUUCUUCCUCAAUUAGCCUGCAAAUAUCAUUUAUACUAAUGGGUUAUGGGGGCCCUAUCCUUGUCUUUUCUCAUUACACACACGCACACAUGUAUAUGUACCUAAUUAGCAGAUUAAUGAUGAAACAAUAUUGAGGUCAUAAUGUAGUCAUUGUCAAUGUAGAACAAGCCUGCAGAACAUAAUAAAAACAAAUGUAACAUGCCAUGCAAGUUUGUUUUCAAAACAAUAUGCCAAGGAAAUGUAGAUGGGUAGAGUUACUAACUACCGACGGCAACAUGUGAAGAAAUAUAUUGGAACUUAAUAUGUGUAUACAAUAUAUUCGAGAUAAAAGCAUUUAGUAGAAUUGAAAAUGCUUGUCAACUGGGAUGUGUUAAUUUAUUUUCACAGCUGGACUGACUUUAAUAUAUUUUCUGGGAUUUUCUGGAGCUUAUAAUAUUAAACUACUGACGACUAAUAUAUGCAUGGUUUGCAUUUGAGGUGAACACUGGAUCAUGGGACCGCGGUGAACCUGGCUUAAUUAGCCAUUGUUAUUAUUUUUCUUAAUGAGUUGUUGGUCUUUUGAUCCAUGGCGCCGCUACUCGGGUUUGAAUAUGAGACCUCUCACUUGGAGGAAUGGAUACCAGCUUUUAGUAUUGAAUAGCCACUGUAUUAUUCUCUAUGUUAGUGUUGAAUAGCCACCUUAUUAUUCUGUCUUGGGCAGAGUGUAAAAUGAGGGGCCCUAUUAACCAGAACCAUAUUCAUUGGGAAGACAUUGGAAUGUGCUGCGGGGAUACAGUUUUUGGGACACUGGAUUCACAUGGUUCGGUCUCAGGUCAGGAUUUCUUUUAUGUAUCUUUUCCAGUACAUCAUAGCAUAUGUUUCCUUGCAUAGUAUGGCUUUCCAUAUUUGCUUAAAAUGAGUUUAAAAGUUCUCUGAGUUUAUUUUUGGUUUUUGAGAAUAUAUAUUGUUUUCAUUUCUUUAUUUACUAUAAAUUUUUUCUCAGAGUUACUUCUAAACCAUUCUCUGAAUAGAGGUGACACCUAAAGAUCUUGCAUCUGCCAUCAAUAAUGGCCAUAGAGCUUCAGCAGCUCUAGAAAGCGAUAUGCACAUGGCUUGUCUUAUGCAUUUUUUGGAUAAUGAAAACUUGUUAGAGGGUAGCCAACGACCAUUCGCAGCUAAAGCUUCCUCCUCUUGAGACACAAUAAACUCAAAAGCUAAACAAAAAUAUUAUCUACAGAAUGUAAACAUAGAUGGGGAAUCAUGAGAGAAAUUAGUGUUUGUUUAACUGAAAUUGAGCCAAGGCAGACUCUAAACAUUAAGGGGUUAAAUGGAUAGAGGAAGAUAACAAGAGAAUUAGUAGCUUUCCACCAUAUUGAUCUUCACUGCAUCAAAUCUUUAUCCCUAGGGAUCAUUCACUGAUCAAUAUGUUCACUAAUUAUUAUUUCUUGGCCACAACUUUUUCUAGAAGGGAAACACUCAAACGAACCUUUUUGUAGAACCUUAAAACACACUUCCAUUACAAUUAGAGGUGACAAUGCUUAACCUAUCUAACUUGAUUCAAUUUGUUGUAGGUUGGCUUGGAUUACUUGUUUAAUAAAAUGGUCAAGCAUGUGUCUGGAUUUUUGACCUGUUCAAUAAACAAGUUGGGUUUGGAUGGACAAAUUUUUGACUGAUCUUGUAUUUGACAUGACCUGAUUGCUACCCCUAAUUACAAUGAGCUUGACAUUUGCUCAUAUAUUUUGGUUCGGAAGAGUGAAGUAGGAAAAUAAAAAUUUCCAUUCCUUGUUUGGCUUUUCUUAGAUGCCAAUUCCAAGAAGGAUUGUGAUGUAUCAAGGCAUCCAGAAACUAGGUCUAAUGAAAUCAACUAGAGUAUUAAUACAGGAGUGAAAUGCUUGUAAUAUGACUAAAAUAGUUUGACAUGGAUGAAGUGGUCAUUGGUGCCUUAAAUUAUUAAAAGAAAGCUAUAUGGUGCACAGGACCAAUACGGUGCACUUCUAAUGGACUCAUGAAUGAUGUCAACUUAAUUAUUCUGUGCAUUGCGCAACCUGAAUAAAAUCAUUUUACUUGUUAGCUUGAGCGUUGAAUACUAUUUUACUUCACUAUUAGGCAUAAAAUUGUCUUAUGGAUGCUUAGUGCCAAAUGUUGAUGAAAUCUGUUCUGAAAAAUGUUGAAGAAAUCAAUGCUAAUACCAGAACUAAAGCCAUUAAUAUUAUAUAAUAGCUUGUAUAAAUGAUAGAUCAUGUCUGUUUGUGUAGGUAAAGGUACCUUGCUUUCUUUUUCUGUUCUUCUUCCAAGGAAGUCGAAUAUAGCACACAAAUAGAAGAAACCCUGCCAGUGAAGAAAUGAUGAUGACUAUGACAGGCUUCUUUUUAUGGUAAUUACCCCUUAUCUGGCCUGCACAACAAAUUUUUGGAAUUAGGACUUUCACUUGGGUACAAUUCUUAUGAUAUGGAAUAUCAGUUAGAUAGUUUGUUGUACACUAACCUAUCAUAUAAUUAUGCUUUGUGACAUGUAUGUUAGAACUGGUAUACUAAUUACACCUCGACUUUGUCAUAAGAACAUGUCCCUACAUUCAGCGUGCCGACAAGCACAAACUCAACAGAACUAUAUCACCAAGUCACAUUCCCUUAGAACCAUAUAAAGUAAAAUAAUAUGGUUAUUUUGACAAAACCAACAAAAUAUGUUAAGAGGUCUACGAUAAUCUCUUUAGUCAUCUACCUCCUUUUCACUCAAUAAAGGAUAAUAUCUUUCGUCAUCCGAUGCAAUCCAAAAGCCAUAUCCCGCUCCUAAAAAGUUCCAAAUGUAGUCCAUAUCACUGGUACAUUCCACACCUGACUCGCGCCUUUUCCUUCCCCUCUCAAGAAAUAAUCGUUACCUAAUUCAGAAGAUGCAAGCUGAACAUAUAGACUCUCCCCUCCUUCGGUGAACAGUCUAAUAUCGAUGAGAUCUCCGGUCCAUGUUACACAGCCGCUCCCUUCAUUGAUAGCAUAGGCGCUGCAAGUGCAGUUCUUCGGGCACCAGUCUUCACACUCUUCCGGACUUUUGUUGCUGUGCACGGUGGCAUUUGAUGUAUGGGGCAACUUCACUUGUUGCAGCCCAAAGAAACCAUCCGAUGAACAAUUUAAAGCUGUUCUCCUUACACAGCCAUCAGAAUGUCUCUCAAUCUCCAAUUUUGAGGAGACUUUGGACUGAAUCCCUUCAAACAAUCACAGGCCGGUGAGUAGCUUGUACUGCAUACGCCACUAGCUCCACAGUUAGCAUACUCGUCACACGGCUCUUUUGGAAGCCACCAGUAAAGGUCCCAUACAAGUUUUGGUUUAGGCCGUACCAAACGCUGAACCACUCCAGUCUCGUUCAAAAAAAGACGAGAUAGAAUAGAAUUGUCAGUACUUCGUAGGUGUAGGUGGUCUCAUAGUCAUUGGAAAUUAGAUUAGACCUGAGCAUGUUAUUUGUUUUCAUCUCUGGAAUGCCAUUAAAUCCAUGUCCAUUCCAGGGUCCAGUGUGAUAUAUUUGGACAGAUCCUCUCCAUAAGAAAAGCUCUGGUACUGGAUUAACAUGUAUCUUGUAGGAGUCGUCCCCUGGAGAAGGGUCAGGGGAACUCUUCCAUGACGUGAGAUGCCUGUCAAAAUUGGUCUUAAAUCCCACCCAAGCUUCAUACCUCAUAGAAGUGUGUUACUCGGAUGAUCAAAGCUCUGCCACCAUAAAUUCUUUGAAGUUCCUUCAAUCAGGACAAGAUUUCUCGAGUCUAGGAGCUGUAUGACGGGAUUAAUUGCAUUGGGGGGGUGUUUGGUUGGGGGGAGUGGGGGUCCGGAAUCGGAAUGGGUGACUCCCAUUCCAACCGUUUGGUUGGGAGGAGUCCUAUUCCGAUUCCAGGGUGGAAUAGGAAUGGCUCAAUUUAUAUAAAAUUCAAUCCCUACUCUCCUCUAUGGAUUCAAUUUUCCAUUUCAAUUUCGAUUCCGAUUUUAAUUUCGGUCACAAACCAAACACUUCGGGGGAUUUGGCCAUUCCGAUUUCGAUUUUAAGUCAUUCUAAUUUUCAUUUCCAUUCUGAUUCCGGUUGCGAACCAACAAACACCCCUGGAUAUUUUUGUUGACCACAAGAUAUGGCCGACGCUAUCUAGUAGGACCAGCUUUCCAUCAUGUGUGAGACUGAGAACCCCCGUGGAGCCGUUAAGGGGAGACAACCUAUUGGCAACCCACACAACUGUUUUAUCUGGAGUGCCUUUGUAAUUUAUCCCCAAGUUUCGAUUCUUUGAGUCACCAGGGCUGAAGAAGCCCAAUUUGAAGGUCCCACCUGACGAGAUUAAGGUUUGUCCAUCUACAAUGGAUUUGGUCGGCGUUGUCGUAUCUCCUGCAAUGGAAAGAGAUUAAGGUUUCCAUUAUUUAAUAGAGAAUGAAACGAGAAAGAAAAUAUGAUUAGUACGUCAAGUUUUCACCUGCUUUACAUGUUUCAUGUUUCAUCUAGUUAUUGGAGGCUCAAUAAUCUAUAAAAGAUAUUUCGGGGGUGUUUGGUUCGUAACCGGAAUCAGAAUAGAAAUGAGAAUCGGAAUGGCUUGGAAUCGGAAUGGCCAAAUCUCCCGAAGCAUUUGGUUCGUGACCGGAAUCGGAAUCGAAAUCAGAAUGAAAAAUUGAAUCCAGAGAGGAGAGUAGAGAUUGAGUUCUAUAUAAAUUGAGUCAUUUCCAUUCCACUCCGGAAUCGAAAUUGGAAUGGGAUUCCUCCCAAUCAAACCGUUGGAAUGGGAGUCAUCCAUUCCGAUUCUGAUUCUAGAUCCCCACUCACCCCAACCAAACACUCCUUUCAUUUACUAAAACAGAGUUUAGUCGCUUAUGUCGAGGCACUUUGCUCAAAGAAACCUGAUCUGUAGGCACAAUUGUAGUCUCUAAGAUAGUAAGACUCCAAUGUUGCUUGGAAAGUGCUUAAAGAAUCAUCGAAUGGGCCGUGUUCCUCAACAUCUAUACUCACAUAAAAUGGCCUGCGAAGCACAGCUCGGUUACUGAGACCGUGGAGUCAAGAAAGACCACCUUAAGUCAUGUUCCUAGUCUUUAUUGAUAUUUUUCUAAAAUAAAAAGUAAACUCGAAUUAUAUGUGUAAAUUUCUUGUGUAUUACCUAUAUCUAAUGCAGCAGCUUACAAGCUGUAAAUCUGAAAUCUUUAUCAGAUCUUUGAUUAUGAUGACGGAUAUACCACACCCAUUCCCUUCUUAUAUUUCUUACCUAAUUUAAUGAGACAUGUUUCGGAUUGAGAAUUAGGAAUUUCUUCACCAGACUUGAAAAUCAGUACUUCAUUCAGUGGCAGCUAAGGAAUAAGGGUCCUAUAACAGGUUAACAUCUCAGUUAAAUAACUAUGAUUGUAUUUUGGAUUAUGCUAUAACUGUUUCUUUUUUUGGAUUAUGGUAUUUUUAUAAUAGUUCAUAGUGAUUUUGUUGUAAUGAUCAGAUUAGGGACAAGAAAGAAUUUUCUUACUCUUCUCAACGAAAUUUAUAAAAAGAUUGAAGAAUUGCGAAAGUAAGACUUAAGUUUUCUUUUCUUUUAAUGAUAAUCGAAAACUAAGGUAUAUAAUAUCUAUUUAUAAUGAUAAAAUCCAUCUUUGCACAAGAUGAACAAGAUAUCUCUUUCUAGUUAUCUUUCCUAAAAUAAAAUUGACUAGUUGAAAUAAAUUCGAAAAAGUUAAAAUUUUUUAGAAGGUAGAUCUCUACUUCUCUAUCAAUUCUGCCGUAUGUUUUUCUGUCUUAUUUUUUUAAAUAAAAAGAUACAUCCAAUAAAAUUUCUAUUUAAAAAGAAAACUUUCAAUUUGAUUGAUUUGUUUCAAGAUCUAAAUGAUGGAAUCUAGAACUGAUGCUCGGGGUGACGCCCCUUAAAAGGUGGAGCAUCAUGUCAUAGAUUUUGAAAAGUUAUUCAAUGUAAAAAAAAGAAGAGCAUCUGAAUCAGAUGUCAUAUGAUCAAGUUAUGGCUGUUAAAAGUUUGGUUUGCAAUUUGGCUUCACAUUGUGAUUGAUCUUGUUCUUAGACCCUAUUCAGCCUUAUACAUGGUAGCCAAAGUGGUAAUUGUGUACUUUUAGAGAAACCACCAAGUGUCAAACUUAUAAAUUUUUGUGAACAAAUAACACUUGUAGCCAACUCUAUGUAAAAUGCUAGAAAACUUGGGUAGAGCUGCAAGAAGGGCCCAUAGACUGAUAAGGGAAUCAAUUCUGAAGAAUUAGAUGACUAGAUUCUAGUUUCAGACAGGUAGAAAGAACAAAAACAAGGGAUAUCCUACACUAGAAUACAACUGUUUUUUUUUUUUUUUGCAUUAAGGACAAAAAAGGGAAAAACUGUGCUUUCUGCAUCAAGGGAAGCAAGGGAACAAUAAGCUCUGGCACUCAUACCUGGCUGGCCGUGAACUGGGAUUGUAGCUGCCGUGAUUCCAAGUACUGGAAAGCAUUCCAGCAAUGUCAUUUCUCCUUUCGCUUCAUGGCAUCUAGAAAGUCUCAUCUGCCAGUACCAUUUGUCUUAUGAUAAGCCAGCGGCUUUCCCUUGAGGAUAACGUGCAGUUUGGAAUUGGUAAAAUACAAGGGUAAUGUGGCUUGUGUUGGGCAUCGGGCUGGCCACCUGAUCACUAUCGUAGACGUCAAAAAUAAUUACUUAUAACUAUAUAGAUAAGGUGAGUUGAGAUCGUAUCCACAGGGAUUGUGUUAAUUGCGGUUGAGUCAUUUUGGAUUUAAAUUAAAGAACCAAGUAGAGAGCAAUCAAGAAACUAUUUAGAUUAACUAGAAAGCAAGUAAAUAAAGAGAAAUACUUAAAGGUUGAUUGUAGAUAUGGAAGGAGUUCUUAGGAUCUCAACUGCUCUCUUAAUAAACAGAUGGUAUCCUUUUUGUCAUGCCUUUGCUAUGUAUCUAAUCAAUAGAGAUAUAACCUAGAGAGCAUGGUCCGCACCCAUAGAUCACGGCCCAUCUCUUAAAGUUAUAGGCUAGUCAAAAUUGAUUUAAAUAUCAUAAAAGAGUUGUCAUCUAAAGAUAUUCUAUCCCAAGAGCACGAACCAUACCCAUAGAUUACGGUUUGUCCUAAGGGUAAUAUACUAUUUUAGAUCGACAACUUAUGCAAAGUAAAUAAAGACAAAGAUAUAAGCAUGAAAAACAAUUCUUUAUUGCAUGAAGGAAAAGAAAUAUGAAAGAUUUCACAAUGAAAAAUAUCGUCUAAAAAGAUUACAGAUAGAGCUCCUAAGAGGUGGUUAUCUAGCCGGCCAUCGUGAGAUUCUUCACCACGAUCUGCAUUCUGAACUUUGGAGAUUCCUUUUUUGGGACUUGGAGAAGACCUUCAGUAGCACGAGGAGGAGAUUUAGUGGAGAAUAGGUUGAGAAAAGUAGGUUUGGAAGAGGUUGGAAGGUGGAAUAGGGUUGCUGGAAUUUUUAGGCUUCAAUCUGCAGGACUGCAAAGGAAGAAAGGUUUAGAGGACUUUUGGAGGCUUUUGGAUGUGGGAUUUUUAUGGUUUGUAGGGGACUAAUGGAGGUUGGGACGGUAGACUUUAAAGGAAAAAGGUUGGACUUAUGGUCGGCUAAAAAUCUGGAAAGACAGGGUUGGUGUGAAGAAGGAUUGUGGCGUGGAAUCUAAGGCUAUGGGGAUUAUAUCGUGGGGAAGGCUUGGAGAGAGAUGAUCCCUACAAGGGAGAGUAUGUCCCUUGGAAGAGAAGAGGGGUAUGUAUUUAUAAAGAAUAGAGAGUGGGUGUCUAGGGUUUAUGGCAUGUAAGAAUUGUGAGGAGGUAUGUCAGAAAGAAAGGAUAUGGGGCGCUCCAAUUUAGCGUGAAGGAGUUUGAGGCAUCUAGGUUUUCUUAUGAAGAGGGGUUGGCAUGAGACUUCUAGGGUUUUGUUGAGUGGUCCUUGAAUGAUAGCCUUUGGAUGGAGCAUCUUUUUUCUCCUUCGUCAGAUGAUUAGUCGCGUUCACACUUGAUCUUCAUGAAGAGUAAUCUUUUAGUUUGAGCCCUUGAUAUUUAAGUCAUGUUCACACUUAAAUCCAUGUGAAGGGUUAUCUUUUAAUCUGGACCCUUGAAUCUUAAGCUUUCAUCUAAUCUCUUUAUGAAUAAAUCGCAUUCACACUGGAAUAGAAGCUGGUUGCCUAGUUCACUCAAAUCUGAUCCAAUUUGAGUUCAAUUAGAAUCGUAUGAACUCAAACUCCCAAUCACUUACAAAAUAAUUUAGAGAACAUCAAAUUUUAAUAAAAUAAUAUUAAUUAUAAUAAUAUUUAGUAUUUUUAGUGACUUAAUUUAAGUAUCCAUCACAUUCUUCAAUUUGAAUUUUGUUCGUCCUCGAGUAAAGAAAGGAUCUAGAAUUAGACACCUUUUAGCUUAGUUUCGAAUUUUACCAAGCAAUUUUCUAAAGGGCCAUUGAUGUUCAAUAAAACGUGAGUGAGGCAUAUCAUUAAGGUAUUAGUACUAACCAUUAUAAAAAUUAAGUGAAGAAUAUUAAUUUUUUUUAAAUUUUUUCUAAUUUAUCUUUAUCUUUAUCUCUAAAUUAUCUAAUUUUCAUAUGAAUAAGUGUAAUAUUACUUUCUUUCUUUAUUUAUUGAUUUUUUUCUUUAACGUUGUAUUGCUAUUGAGUAUCUUAACCCCUUAAGCUUUCUGUCUGACUCAUAUAGUGAGUUUUCAAUCAAUGACUUCCGAAUCAGAUGGCUUUAGAGUACUAGAUAUAAAAUAUCUCUUGGACUUAUUAGCUCGAAUCAAACAGGCUAUGAGUUAAGACUAGCUUUACAACAGAGCUUAUUUGUCCUUCACAUCUUUUGAUACGAAACUCAAUGCUUAGACAAACAGAUCCGAUUACUCAGCAUGAAGUACUUGAAAAUUAUUUUAUUUUAAAAAUAAUUUUUUUAUAAAGAAAUGUAUAGUCAUUCUAUAUAAGUCCAUAGGAAGUAAACUCUUCUUUGAUGCUGGUAGGAGGAAUUGAAAGUGCUCACAAAAAAAAUGCUUAUGUUCUAGAUUUAAUUCUUUAUUGGAUUUUCUUAAUAUUUGAUUCUUCAAUAUCUCAUAAACUCUCUAAUCUGUACAUCAAUUUAUUUUUUUAAAAAAAUACUGGAUUCAGCUCGAUUUUUUAGCAUAAUCGGAUGUCUAACCGCUAAAUACUAACUUAUUCGAAGACUUUAAAAUUUAUUAUUAUUAUUAUUAUUCUCUUUCUCCAACUUAAUCGACAUUAUCCUUAAUGGAGUAAGAAAAAUAAAGGAUACAGACAGAGUAAGAAAAGAAGAGAUGUCACCUGACUUAGAUGUGUAUUUGGUUCAGUCUGACCUUUAUGAUUUCACUCGAAGUUUUUUCAAAAUGAUUCUCCCCCCAAUUUAGUCCUAUAUUUAAAAAGAAGGAAGCUAAAAAUAAAAAAAUUCAAAUAUAAAAGCUGGAUUGCCUUCCAACAAGUACUAAGUUUAAAGUCUUCAAUCAAACUUUCAUUAAGACUACUAAAAAAUUGGAUUGUCUCUCAACAAGCUUUAAGUUUAAAGUUUUCAAUCAGACUUCAUGAUUCUGCCUAUCCCGUGUUGAAUAUUGGAUUGACAAAUUUCAAUGAUUUUGGAUUGUCAAUCUUAGGAAGAUAGUUUGCGACCACAUUAUUGAUAAAGUCCAUUAUUUCUUUAUUAUCAAUUUUAGGAAGAUGGUUUGCAAUCCCAUUCUCAUUCUCUUGUUUAUUGAGAAUUUCUCCUAUAUCUUCUAAAAUGCUUCUAAAUUGAGUUUUUGUAUUAGGAGUUAGAUUCGAUGCACUAAUUAUUGGGAGCAUGUCAUAUGGUCCAAUGCAUACAUACUCAAGGUGUGAUUGAGGGUGGCUUUAGUUCUAGGACUGAUGGCGAUUCUAAAGAGGGAGCUAUUGGAGUAGGUAUUGGAGGUAAAGGCUCAUAUUUCUCAGUGCAUCGGGGAGUGGUGCUAAAAUUAGAUGGCUCUAAUAAUGUGUGUAUAUUUUCAACAUAUUCAUCCAGAUCAAAAUCAUCCACUCCAAAAGGAUCCCAAUAUGUAUGCACUAGGUCCUGAGAAAUUCUUCUAGGGUUAGCUUCCUCUAUUGUAUCUUUUAGGGGUGAAGCCAUAUGGUAUAAUUGGAUUGCUCUGAUUAAUUUUUUUAAAAAAUUUAUUUAAAGAAAGAGGGAGAGAAGAAGAAGAGAAGAGAAGAGGAAGAAAGAGAGUUCUAAAGAUGAGAAUCCUAAGAGAGUCCUAGACCUAGAGAUGAUAGAUGUGAAGAAUUUAAUUUGGGUUAGAUAUUUUCAAAUAGCAAUCAAGUAGGUCAAUCAAUUUUAGCUAAGGGUUGUUCUAAAUCUAGACAGCUUCUAAUUGCAAGGUCACCUUCGAGUACUUCAAGUAAAAGACUAGCCACUCAUCUGGCCAGAUAAGUGUAAGAUUGGUGGGGAUCCCCCUAUUAUUUUCCUUAGAUACCAAUUAAAUUGAUCAGAUAAGCGAACGGAACUAAUUAAUGUACCACCUUCCUUCGGGAUGUAAUUCUUGAACCACUUUUCUAGAUAUCAGUUAAACUGAUCAAUCUUAAUUCGAUCCAAUUCUUAGGAUUUCUUGUCCUAUUGAGCCCAAGAGUCCUUAGGGGCCAACAUCUAAUUGAUUUUAAAUUAAAAUUUAAAUCAAUAAAAAUGCAAGAUGGUUGUUUUUGGAUUAAGAAAAGGUGAUCAAAUCUCCAUCUUAUCUUGUUUAAUUGGGUUAAAUGUCCUUAAAUUAAUUAUAUAAAGAUACAAUGCAAACACACUAGAUGUCCAAUACAAGUAAGAAGCUUUUAAGGUUUAAUUAGUUUUAAUAUAUUAAUUAAAUAUUACAAGGUGUUGGAUUUGUUUUUUUUUAUGUUAGGUUAUUUAAAGCAAAAAAAUAACAAUUAGGUUUUAAUUAAGUUAAUUAGAUUUAAGGAGAUUUAGAGAAUCUAACUAAAUAAAAAGUAAAUUAGGCUAAGAUUAAAAGGCAACUAGAUCUUCUAUAAAUAAAGCAAUUAAAUCUAAUUUUAGGAUAGUAAGUUAUUUCAAGUUAUAAAAAGUAGUAAAUCACUAUGUUAUAGGAAGCAGAAAAUUCUUCUAAAGUACUCUAACUAGAAAGCAGUAAAUCUACCACAAAUGAAAAGCGAUAUAAGGUAGAAAUUUAAAGAAAAUAAAAAUAUGCAAUUAAAAUAAAGCAAUAAAUAAUUUUUUUUUGAUUUUUUUAAUUUUUUUUUAGACUCGAAACAACUAAAAUACGAUCUUCAAUAAUGGUAUCAAAAUUUGAUCGCUAUUGUAGGCAUCAAAAAUAAUUAUUUAACUCACAAUUAUAUAGAUAGGAUGAGUCGAGAUUAUAUCCACAGAGACUGUAUUAAUUAUGGUUGAGUCGUUUUGGAUUUAAAUUAAAGAAUCAAGUAGAAAGCAAUUAAGAAACUAUUUAGAUUAACUAGAAAGCAAGUAAAUAAAGAGAAAUACUUAAAGAUUGGUUGUAGAUAUGGAAGUUCUCAGGAUUUCAACUGCUCUUUUAAUAGACAGAUGGUAUCCUUUUUAUCAUAUCUUUGCUACGUAUCUAAUCAAUAGAGAUAUAACCUAUCUUAGAGAGCACGGUCCGUAUCCAUAGAUCACGGUUCGUCUCUUAAAGUUAUAGGCUAGUCAAAAUUGAUUUAGAUACCAUAAAAAAGUUAUGACCUAAAGAUAAUCUAUCUCAAGAGCAUGAAUCGUACUCAGAUCAUGGUUUAUCCCAAAGAUAAUAGACUAUUCUAGAUCGAAUUUUUUUAAUCUAUAAAUAAGUUUGCGAUCGAUUUUUUAGUUGUAAAUUUUUUUUAAUAUUUUGUAGCCAAAAAAUCUAUCGUAAAAGUUUUUAAUUAUUUUUAAUUUAAAUAUAUUUACGAUCGAUUUUUCAAUUGUAAAAUAAUUAAAAAAUUGACGAUCAAAAAAUUGAUCAUAAAAUUUUUGAAUUAUUUUUUAAUCUAUAAAUAAGUUUGCGAUUAAUUUUUUGGUUGCAAAAUAAAAAUUUUGCAAUCGAAAAAUCUAUCAUAAGAUUUUUUUAGUUGUUUUUUAUUCUAUAAAUAAGUUUGCGACUAAUUUUUUGGUUGCAAAAUAUUAAAAAAAAUUUGUAACCAAAAACUCAAUCGCAAACUUAAUUAUAGAAAAUAAUUCAAAAAUUUUGUUAUUGAUUUUUUAAUUGCAAAAUUAAUAUUUUGCAACCGAAAAAUCGAUCGCAAAUUUAUUUAUAGAUUAAAAAAUAAUUCAAGAAUUUUACGAUUGAUUUUUUGAUCGUAAUUUUUUUAAUAUUUUACAAUCAAAAAAUCGAUCGCAAAUAUAUUUUAUAAUCGAAUAUAAUUUUUUUUAUUAUUUUUUAAUAUGUAAUAAUUUUAGAAUUUAAAGUCUAUCUUCAUCGUUCAUUAGUUAAAUAAUUAUCGUUAGAAUAUCAUCACAAAAGAUCAUCUCGAUCUGAUAGUCCUAGCUAUGUCAAGCAAUAAAAUUUGAUUUCAAUGGUCACGAACAACCGUAUGAUGAUCUAAUAGAUAGAGACCAUCGAUGGGUUCAAAAAUUUACAACGAUGAUCUCGAUGACAUUUGUAGCAUACUAUCAAAAUUUUACUUCAAUCGGACAUCAUUAUCAUGAUUAAUUUAGCAUGGGAUGAUAUGGAUUGUUAAAUGAAAAAUGACUGAUCAAAAGGCCAAAUGGCAUUCGAUUAUAAAGUGAUUUUUUAGAUAAAUAAUCUUUGCUACUUUAAUUAUCUGUAUGGUGGUGAUCGUAAAAUUCAAACCGUGCAUGUACGAACCGUUCACGUUAAGCAGAUCUUACAAAAGCACAAGUAUAAUUACUUAAGAACUUUAAGAAUGAGUAUCAAGAGAUAUAUAGUUUUGGAUUAUUCAUAUAUGUGCGGUUUGAAUUUUACAAUCACUACCAUACAAACGAUCAAAGUAGUAGCAAAGAUCAUUUAUCUAAAAAAUCAUCUUAUAAUCGGAUGUCGUUUGAUCUUUUGAUUACUUAUUUUUUAUUCAACGACCUAAAUCAUCUCAUGCCAAAUUAACCAUGAUAAUGAUAUUCGAUUGAAGUAAAAUUUUGAUACUGUGCUACGAAUAUCAUUGAGAUCAUCGUUGCAGAUUUUCGGACCCAUCCGUAGUCUCUAUCUAUCAAAUCAUUAUGCAGUCGUUCAUGAUCGUUGAAAUCAAAUAUUAUUAAUCGACAUAGCUAGGGCUAUCAGAUCGAGGUGGUCUUUUAUGACGAUACUCUAACGAUAAUUAUUUAGAUAGUGAAUGGUGAGAUGGAUUUUAAAUUUCAAAAUUAUACCAUAUUCAGAGAAAAAUAAAAAAAAUUAUAUUCAAUUGUAAAAUAUAUUUGCGAUCGAUUUUGCAGUUGUAAAAUAUUAAAAAAAUUUACAAUCGAAAAAUCGAUCGCAAAAUUUUUGAAUUAUUUUUUAAUCUAUAAAUAAGUUUGCGAUUGAUUUUUUGAUUGCAAAAUAUCAAUUUUGCGAUCGCAAAAUUUUUGCAUUGUUUUUUAUUCUAUAUUUAAGUUUGCGAUUGAUUUUUCGGUCAUAAAAUCUUUUCAUAUUUUGCAACCGAAAAAUCGAUUGCAAAUUUGAAUUUUGAAAAGAAAAAUUGGUGCCUUUAUUUUUAGAGACCGAUUUAGCAAUUGAUGAAUUGGUUGCUAAAUCUUCUUUAUAACCCCCUUCUCCCAACCACAGUUGUACCCAAACCCCCUCUUCCCCUUCCUGGCGAUCGACCGUGAUGGCCAACCCUUGCUGGCCCGUUCGUGACGGCCCCCCCUCCCCUUCCCAACGACCGUCCGCGAUGGCCUCCCCUUGCUGGCCCGCCUGCAAUGGCCCCCCCUCUCCGGCAUUCGAAUUCCUUCUUCCCCUCAGUGACCGCCCAUGACAGCCUCCCCUUGACGGCCCACCCGCGACGGCCCCCCUCCCCUCCUUGACGAUCGUCCAUGACGGCCUCCUCUCACUGGCUCGCUCGCGAUGGCCCCUCCUUCAGCCUCCCCUUACUGGCCCGCCUGUGAUAGGCCCCCCUCUCCUCCCCAGCGACCGCCCACGACGGCCUUCCGUCGUUGGCCCCAUCGCGACGGCCCCCCUCCCCUCGAUGACCGCCCAUGAUGGCCUCUCCUUGCUGGUCCGCCCACGAUGGCCUCCCCUCACCAUGCUCCAUGUUGUCACUGGCGUCAACCUUCGUCGGUCCAUAGAGAGGUGAGCUGUGAGAAACGGACGAAAAACACCCUUCGGUCCAUAAUGGACCUCGAGAAACCAGUCGUUGGUCCAUGCCUCGCUCCAUGGACCACAUCGGCCGAAUUUUAUUUUAAAUAAUAAUAUAAAAAUAAAAUAUAUAAUAAAUAAAAAAUAUAAUAUAAAAAUAAUAUAAAAAUAUGAAAUAAAAAUUUAGUGAUUGAUUUUGCAAUCGAUUUUGAAAAUUAAAAUAUUAUAAAAAAUAAAUUACGACAUAUUUUAAAAUCAAUUUUUUAAUUAAAAAAUUUAAAAAUAAUUAACAAUCGGUUUUGCGAUCGAUUUUAUUCAUAAAAAAUAUUUUAACAAAAUUAGUGAUCGAUAUUGCAAUGAUAAAUUAAUUAAAAAAAUUAAAAAUAAUUAGCGAAUGAUUUUGCUAUUGAUUUAUUAAUAAAAAAAUUUAAAAAAUAAUUAGUGACUGUUUUUGCGAUCGAUUUAUUAAUAAAAAAUAUUUUAAUAAAUUUAGCAUUCGAUUUUGUGAUCGAUUUUUACGAUCGAUUUUUGCAAUCGAUUUUUAACAAAUAAAAUAUUAUAAAAUUUAAAUUAUUUUUUUAUUUUUCGAUCGCUAAAUCGGUCGCAAAAUUUUACGACCGAAAAAAUCGGUCGCAAAAUAUUUUGCAACCAGAAUUUUUGCAACCGAUUUAAAUCGAUUACAAAAUAAAUUAACAAUUUUUUUUUUUGCAAUCGAUUUUGUGGUCGCUUAAAUCCUAUUUUCUUGUAGUGGCACUCCCGCUUCACUCAACUGAGCCGGACUUGAUCCUAGACUGGGCUAGGAAGUCGGGUGUAAAAAUUGCGGAUGCGUAAAAAUUGCGGAUGCGGAUGCUGACAACUUCACCAAUUCGCUUCUCAGUCUGGAGGAAAAAAGUGUUGGUGUGUGUCUGCCUUGGCACCUCUGACAUCCAUGGUUUAUCUCAAAGCCUGUUGUUUUGAGUUGGGUGGGAAUCGCAAUUACGAUAUGGUCUGUCACAGUGACUACCUAGUUAUCUCCUUGUUUUCUCGUCUUGUUCCUUCCACUUAUAGUGCGUCUAUCUAUGGAUGUCACAUGCUCCUCUAGGGAUAUUUCUCGGGGAAAGUUGUCCUUCACCUUGGCACAUUACUGUCUUCCUUCGUCUUAUGUACGGUUUCUUAGCUGGCAUAUCAUGUCGAUGGUCUGUUGGAAUGUAAGGGGUCUCAGUGAUCCUGUAAAAAGAAAAAUUGUCCAAGAUCUCCUUGAAUCCAAUACCUGCUUUGUUGUUGGCCUUCAAGAAACAAAACUCGAAAACCCUUCCGCAGGCAUCUUGAGGUCCCUUUCUUGUUCCAAGAUCAACAGGUGGGCAGCCUGUAAUGCCAGGGGCUCCGCAGGUGGCAUUCUCAUUGGUUGGGAUGAAAGUAGACUUGAUGUCUCUCAUACAGAUAGCAGGAGGUUCUCUGUUACAGUUCAUUGGUGGGAUAGAGCUCUUCACUUAAAUUGGUCCUUCACAUGUGUAUAUGGUCCGGUUGAGUGCUGUCUCAAACCACUUUUCUGGCAAGAACUCGGGGAUAUUCAUGCAUCCAUCCCUGGCGCCUGGGUUGUGGGGGGUGAUUUUAAUGCUAUCAGUAGAGUUGAGGAUAGGACUGGACCACCUCAGCCAAGCAAAGUCUCGACUACUUUUUGUGACUUCAUCUGAGCGGCGCAACUCACUGACUUACCUCUCAAAGGGAGGUUGUUCACCUGGAGCAACAAGAGGGAGCAACCAACCUUUGUGUUGCUAGACAGGAUUCUGAUCUUGUCUUGAGAUUGAGGACUGCUGCCCGCAUUCCUUUCUUGAAGCCUUGGCCAACCCUUGCUCGGACCAUGUACCAAUCAAAUUAUCUUUAGGGAGUCAAAAAUUGCCAAAAAGAAUGUUCAGAUUUGACCGAUGUUGGGUUGGAAAGGAAGGUCUCCGGGAGGUCAUUGCUCAUUCUUGGGCUGCUGUGGGUUCUAGUGGAAAUGCUGCAGCAAACCUUGUACAGAAGUUGAAGGCAGCUAGAGGGGCCGUCAGAACUUGGGCUGCAAGUACCAAUUCAGCAUUUAGAUCAGCCAAAGACAAGCUGCUCUUGACUGUACAUGAUCUGGACCUGAAAGAAGAGUCUUCUCCGCUUUCAGCUGAAGAAAGGGAUCUGCGCAACACUUGUAAACGGAAAUUAUAUCAAUUGUCUAAAGAGGAGGAAGUCCAUUGGAAGCAGAGAUCCAAAAUUCAUUGGCUUAAGGAAGGUGACAACAUGCAUUCUUUCACAAAAUGGCAAAUUUCAAAAGGAAGCUCAAUUGGAUAUCUUGCAUUGAAUGGAAUGGUGCAGAAUUCUCAGAUAUGAAGUCAGUCAAGAGAAUCUUUGUUGAUUUCUUCAAGAAUAUCUUUGAUGAAGCGGAAGCUCAACAUUUCGAUCUGGACUGGUCGCUACUCUAUCCCUCUGGCCCUUGCCUCACCGAGUUAGAUGCGCCCUUCUCUCGAGAGGAAAUAAAAUUGUCUGUGUUCAGUUUCAAGGGAGACAAAAGCCCCGGUCCCGAUGGAUUCACCAUGGUGUUCUUUCAGAACUUCUGGGACCUUGUUUGUGAGGAUGUGUUCGCUUUAUUUCAGCAACUCUAUGAUCAAAACUUGGAUUUAGACGGACUUAAUUAUGCCAUUCUUAGUCUUAUUCCUAAGAUUGAGGCGGCUAAGGACCCGUCGGACUUCCGGCCGAUCAGUUUGGUGCAUAGCUGUAUCAAAAUUAUUUCCAAAAUUUUGGCAAACCAUCUUCAACCUUAUCUUCAGGACCUUAUUUAUCCUUCUCAGACAGCUUUUAUCAAAGGAAGAUGUAUCAUGGACAAUGUCCUCUGUGCAAAUGAAAUUCUCCACCACUCAAGAAGAUUUGAAACUCAUGGGGCGGUUUGUAAACUUGAUUUUAGGAAGGCUUUUGAUAGAGUCGGUUCCCGCUUCCUCAUCCAUCUCCUUGCAAAUAGGAACUUUCCCCCUCGCUGGAUCUCUUGGGUCUCCAAUAUUCUCCUCUCCUCUAAAGUAGCUGUGAACAUCAACAGCGAGCUCACCAAUUGGAUUUUUUGCAAGAGGGGGUUAAGACAAGGUGACCCACUUUCUCCUUUUCUUUUCAUCCUUGCGGUGGACCCCCUUUGCAAAAUGCUGAACGCAGCGGCAGCAGCAAAAAUUUAUGAGGGUGCGGGCAAUCCUUGGCGUUGUGGUGGGACAAAAAUCUUGCAAUAUGCUGAUGAUACCCUUGUGUUCCUUAGAGCUGAAAGGCAAUAUUGUGCUGUCUUGAAGAUUAUCCUCUUAUGCUUUGAGUUAAUUUCUGGUUUAUCGGUGAAUUUUCGGAAGAGGUCCAUUUCUUGCAUUGGAAGAAGUUCUGAUUCAAUUAGACACUGUGCUUUAUGGCUCAACUGUCCUAAGGUUGCGCAUAAGUUCAAAUACCUAGGCUUACCUCUCUGUGGCGCGAAACCAUCCAAGGCUGAUUGGCUUCUUCUCAUUCAAAAAUUAGAAAGGAAGCUGGCUUCAUGGAAAUCUAAGCAUCUAUCCUUUUGCGGUAGGCUGACAUUAAUCAAUUCAGCUCUCACUGCUCUUCCCCUUUACUUCAUGUCCCUUUUCAAACUUCCGGUGUGGGUCAUCAAAAGGAUCGAUAGGUGUAGAAGAUCCUUUCUAUGGUCUGGUGCUUCCUUAGCUUAUGGUGUAUCUUGCAAAGUAAAUUGGGGAAUGGUUUGUCGCCAGAAGGAUGAAGGGGCCUUAGGGGUCAAGGACAUUACCCAGAUGAAUAUGGCUCUCCUUGCUAAGUGGGGUUGGUGGCUCCUAAAGCAUGAUUCAGGUUUGUGGUGUUGUCAAAUAGAGUUUGCUUACCAUAAAAAGUAAAACGAUCUCCUUGCUGGACACCACCUCGAAGAUGUUCCAACUUAUGGAAGAAUGUGAUCAACUCGCUGCCGGCCUUUUGGAACCGGGUUUGGGUUCAAAUAGGAAAUGGGAAAGAAACCAUGUUCUGGAAAGAUACCUGGCUUUGUGACUCCCCUUUGACAGUCAUUUUCCCCACCUUGUAUGCAAAGAGCACUAAAAAGAAUGGGUUAGUUUAUGAUUUCUUCAACCAUAGAUCUCAAAGAUGGACGUUCAGACCUUCGAUGUUGUCCAUCCGAGCACCCACCAGCAACUUCUCCUGCUGCUUUCGAUGUUGGCACCGAUCGCCUUUGACGAGCAACAAGACAAGCUGAUUGGACCCAGGAAAACAAAGGAGAAUUUUUCUGCUCAUCAAUGUACCACUUCCUCAACUCAACAGGCGUAAGGUGCAGAUUUGCAGGCUCUCUUUGGGACCUUUGCGUUCCCCUGAAAAUCAAAUGUUUCUUAUGGCUCUGUUGGAAAAAAAUGCUCUGCACCUGGGAUCUUCUUUCCAGGAAACUGAACAAGAACCUUGGUGGAUGUGUUCUAUGUCAAAGUGGAGUGGAGUCGGUAGAUCAUCUGUUCUCGGAUUGCAAUUUUUUUUUGGCGACAUCUGGAGAAAUGUCUGCUUACUGCUGCAGGUAUUGCCUUCCCAUACUAGCUUUGAGAGCCUGUGCAUGAGUUGGCUUCAUCGGAACUUCUCCAAGAAAUCCCAUCCUGUGAUGCUCAUGCUCAUUGGAGCAAUAACCUGGGUUUGCUGGAAUGAGAGAAAUGCGAGAAUUUUUCUCAACAAACGCUCUUGUUCAGCCAUUAUUGCAACCCAUGGGAUUCAUCUCUUCAAUCUGUGGUCCACCCUCUGCAAAGAUAACCUCCUGGUCGAGCAUGGAAAAAUCUGGAAUCAAGUCAGAAGCCUGCCAGAUUCUGUUCCUUAAAAUUCUGUUGACUGAUGGUGGCCUUUUGAGGCUUUCUUUCCUUGUUGUUUAUUUCCUGUUAGAGGCUUGGUGGUUUUUUUGUUCUCCACCAUCUAGGGUGGUGUUUUUUUUGGGAUAGUCUGUCACUGUUACUGUCUGCCUCCAGCAAUGGAGGCAGCACCUGUAUAUUCUUUUCCCUUCCCUAAUAAAGUCAGGUGGCUGCUCCUCAGCCUCCAUUUGCCUCAAACAAAAAAGAGAAGGAAGUAAGGAAUAGGAUAUUGUAAGAAGAUAUAAAAGAUAUAUGAAAUUUCAUUAAGUUAUAGAUCAUUUAUUUUAGCAUUACCGAUCGAGUGACAAAUUCUCCAACCCAAGGGACUCUGUUGGAAGAACUCAGGUGAAAAUAUAUUCUGUUCUAAUAUUUUAUCAUCAGAAAAUCUAAAGAUAAUGUUUUUUGAUGCCAGUGAACUAGUUUUAAUAUCACUACUGCAUUUGCGAAAAUAUUGUGUGUAAUAUUUCCUGAGGUUUUAUUCCUUUUCAGUCACUGUCACGGACAAUAACAUAAUUGGUUCUUGUUUCUUCUUCACUUAUUCUUGUUGUUUGUAUAGGAACAGUAUUUGCAUAUAUUCUUUUCUUUAAAUCCAUUGGUUGUGCGAACCAUAUCUGUGUCUGCAAGCAAUGUUUUUUCUUUCUUACUCCUGAAUCUCUUAAUCUUAUCACUGUGAAACUUAGGAGAAUUUGCUACUUUGGACAUUUUUUUCAAUGAAAUCCUUAAUUAUAUCUAUAAAGAAUGAAAAAAGGCAUUUGGUAUCCCCCCACAAAAGAGGCAUAUGAACAAUUAAAAUCAUAGUAAGAUAGUUGGAACUCUGCCUGAUAAAUAUAUUUGUAGAAUGAAGUCCAUGAAUUCCGNNNNNNNNNNNNNNNNNNNNCUUAAGAUUUCUAACACUAGAACACCAAAGCUGAAGACAUCUGAUUUCACUGAAAAGAUACCACCCAUUGCAUACUCCGGUGACAUAUAUCCACUGCAUGUCAUUAGCAAAAUUAGUUUAUGCAACUAGGAUAUUGCACUCAGAUUUAUACUUUAUGAGUUGAUACACUUAUGUACUUACUAUGUCCCAACAACUCUAUUUGUAUUCUCUUCAAUUUGGUCAACCUUAAAAAUUCUUGCAGUACCGAAGUCUGAGAUUUUUGGGUUCAGCUCCUCAUCAAGAAGAAUAUUGCUGGCCUUCAAAUCUCUGUGAAUAAUUUUCAACCUAGAGUCUUGGUGAAGGUAAAGAAGUCCUCGAGCAACUCCUAAGAUGAUGUCGAGGCGCUUUUGCCAGUCCAAAAAUGCACUUCUUUUACUAUCUGGUCCAAAGUUACACUCAUUGUUAGCUUGACAAAUGUAUUCUGAAAUUCAACUUAGCUACUUGUUCUUUACCUUUUUCCCUUUGAGAUAAGUCCACUACAUAUUUCAAAUAAAUAUAAUCUAUCAUUUACCUAUAUGAUACUCUUUAAAUCCAUGAUUAACCUUAUAAUCAUAAGUUGCACAUGUAUUUAGCAUAAGGAAAAAUGCCUUAUAUGCAGAACCUUAUACAAUUUGAAAUAAAAUGAUUUGGCACCUUAGUUUAUUAGCAAGGAUGUGAGGUUCAGAUUCUUGCCAUUUCAUUUCAAUAGGAGGUCUAAUGCAUAGUGGUGAGAUUAAGGGCAAAGGAAGUGCCAAGUUAGAGGAAUCAGAUUAUCUACUGCCAUCAUCAGCACCACCUCUGCUCAUCCUUUAAAUAACCAACUUGAUUAACUAAAAUGCAUUCUAUCAUAAUUUCAGUCCCUACAAAUUCAUACCACAUCCACCCUUUUUUUUUGACUGAUAAAAAUCUAUGUAGUGUAUGAAAAGUCAAAUGGAUAUUCUUCAUGCAGUCUAAGCUUUAACUAGCAACUAGUUUUGAGCCCGCGUGUUGCGCAUGGGUUUGUAGAUCAUAUAAUUGAUCAUGUUUGAAAAAAGAUUUUUUAAGAAUAGCAACAUAAUGUCCGUCCAUAUUCUUAAUGUUAAUAAUGGCAGAUUUUAAUAACAUCAGUUAAUGUACAUAAGUGGGUUUUAAUUCUGUUCAUUGAGAAUAUAAGACUUGCAUUCAAUGCUUUUAGGUAGAAGAGUCCACAUGGCAUGCACAGAUGAGACUUGGCUGCUUAAGUGGACAGCUUCAUUUUCUAAUCAAUCUUCUCUUGGUUUCUGCUUUCUAAUAUAUAUAUAUAUAUUAAAUUAUUAUGUUUGAAAUAAUUUCACCUGAUAUGGAAAAACAAGAUAUCCAUCUUAAUUGUUAAUCCAUUGCCUCAUCAAUCCAGUCCUGGUUUUCUAAAAUCCUGCAUAGUUGACCUACAUGGAAGACCUAAGCAGAAGUCCAAAUAUAAAUUAUGAUCAACUAAAACAAAUAUAGCUGCUAAGCCUGUGAGAUGUCCAUCAAACAUUGCAUUGUAUAUAGGGCAUGAAGUAGUCAAAUGGUUCAGGGAUAAAGACCAAACCGAAUAUGAAAUAGUCCAAACUUGUAUUUUGCAAGUACUCGUACACCAGCAAUCGUUCCUCUCCUUCAAUGCAACAGCCAAGAAGGCGAACAAGAUUUCUGUGCUGAAGUUUGGCUAUCACCAACACCUCAUUUGUGAAUUCAUUUAUGCCCUGCACAGAAUCUUUGGACAACCUCUUGACAGCAAUCUUUUCUCCAUCUUCCAACUGACCCUGCUAAUUUCUACAUUUAGGUGAGUUCCACAAUGCUCUUUUUCCAAAGAGUUUGUAUCUUUUGUAACUGUAGGAUCAAACAGCACUAUGCCCUAUAGUCAAAAAGAUUACCUUGUAAACAGGGCCAAAUCCACCCUCUCCAAGUUUAUUAUCUUCAGAAAAGUUAUUGGUGGCAGUUCUUAUUGUAUGUAUAUCAAAUAAAGGUAACUCUAGCUCGUUUCCUCUGCUUUCCCUGUAGUGGAUGCUAAGUGUUUCACCUAGCAUGAAAAUUUAGUAUAACAAGAUCAAUUAUGCGAGCUUCUUGAAUUCAACUGUACUUGCAUCUCCAUCCCAAAAUGUUUCAAAACAAAAAGAAAAAUAAUACUUGUAAAUAGAACAACAAAAAUUACAUUCAAGACAGCAAUUAUUUUAAUUCAUUCACAAGUAUGUAUUCACAUGGGUACAAAUGUGGAAUUCAUGGUUGACAGAGUGCUAGGUGUCAGGAGCUAAAGAAUAUACUAGGUAACAAUCAGAGCUCAGCAAGGUCUGUCUUAGAAACCGUGCUUAGAUCAAUUAAAACUUGGGUGUCACUCUGCACUGGAAAGAAAGCUGACAGUCAUGCCAUGGUUCAGUAGAGAUCAUCGAAUACAUCGUAGUUUCUUCCUCCAUUGGCCUGCAAAUAUCAUUUAUACUAAUGGGUUGUGGGGCCCCUAUCUGUGUCUUUCCUCAUUACACACACGCGCGCACACAUGUAUGUACCUAAUUAGCAGAUUAAUGAUGAAACAAUAUUGAGGAAAUUUUGUAGUCAUCGUCAAUGUAGAACAAGCCUGCAGAACAUAAUAAAAACAAAUGCAAAGUGCCAUGAAAAUUUGUUUUCAAAAUAAUAUGCCAAUGAAAUGUAGAUGGGUAGAAUUGCCAGCUACUAGCGGCAACAUGUGAAGAAAAAUAUUAAAACUCGAUAUGUGAAUACAAUAUAUUCGAGACUAGUCGGUUGUCCCCACUACUCUCCAAUUCAUCAAAAAAAAAAAAGAAUACAAUAUAUUCAAGACAAAAGCAUUUAAUACAAUUGAAAAUGGUUGUCAACUGGGAUGUGUUAGUUUUAUUCGCAACUGGGCUGACAUUAAUAUAUUCUGUGGUUUUUCUGGAGCUUAUAAUAUUAUACUACCGACGACUAAUAUAUGCAUGUUUUGCAUUUGGGAUGAACACUGGAUCAUGGGACCACUGUGAAUGUGGCUUAAUCAGCCGUUGGUAUUAUUAUUAUUAUUAUUUUUUAACGAGUUGUUGGUCUUUUGAUCCAUGGCGCCACUACUCAGGUUUGAAUAUGAGACCUCUCACUUGGAGGGAUUGGGUACCAACUAGCUGACUUACAAGCUGUUGGUGUUGAAUAGCUGCCGUACUAUUCUCUAUUUUGGGCAUCGUGUAAAAUGUGGGGCCCUAUUUUCUCCACCAGAACCAUAUUCAUUGGGGAGACAUUGGAUUGUGCUGCGGUGAUACAGGUUUUGGGACACUGGAUUCACAUGGUCCGGUCCCAGGUCAGGAUUUCUUUUAUGCGUCUUUUCCAGUACAUCUAAAGCAUAUGUUUCCUUGCAUACUAUUGCUUUCCAUAUUUGCUUAAAACGAGUUUGAAAGUUUUCUCUGAGUUUAUUUUUGGUUUUUGAGAAUAUAUAUUGUAUUCAUUUCUUAUUUACAUAAAAUUAUUCUGAGUUACUUCUAAACCAUUAUCUGAAAAUAGGUGACACCUAAAGAGUUGCAUCUGCCAUCAAUAGUGGCCAUAGAGCUUCAGCAGCUCUUGAAAGUGAUAUGCACACGACUUGUCUUAGGCAUUUUUUGGAUACCAAAAACCCAUCAAGAGGAUAGCCAAUGACGAUUCGCAGCUAAAGCUUCCUCCCUUUGAGACACCACAAACUCAAAGCUAAACAAAAAAAUUAUCUACAGAACGUAAAAAAUGGAUACAGAAUCAUGAGAGAAAUUAGUGUUUGUUUAAAUAAAAUUGAGCCACGGCAGACUCUAAAUAUUAAGGUGCUAAAUGGAGGAAGAGAACAAGAGAAUUAGCAGCUUUCCACCAUAUUGAUUUUACUGCAUCAAAUUUUUAUCCCUAGGGAUCAUUUACUGAUCAAUAUGUUCACUAAUUAUUAUUUCUUGGCCACAACUUUUUCUAAAAGGGAAACACUCAAUCGAACCUUUUUGUAGAACCUUAAAACACCCUUCCAUUACAAUUAGAGGUGGCAAUGCUUAACCUAUGUAACUUGAUUCAAUUUAUUGUAGGUCGGUGCGGAUUACUUGUUUAAUAAAAUGAUCAAGCAUGGGGACCUGUUCAAUAAACAGGUUAGAUUUGGAUAGAUGAAUUUUUGACCGAUCUCAUGUUUGGCCCAACCCAAUUGCUGCCCCUAAUCACAAUGAGCCUGACAUUUGUUCAUAUGUUUUGGUUUGGAAGAGUGAAGUAGGAAAAUAAAAAUUUCCAUUCCUUGUUUAGCUUUUCUUAGAUGCCAAUUCCAAGAAGGAUUGUGAUGUAUCAAGGCAUCCACAAACUAGGUCUAAUGAAAUCAACUAGAGUAUUAGGAUAGGACUGAAAUGCUUGUAACUUGACUAAAAUAGUGUGACAUAGAUGAAGUGGUCAUUGGUGCCUUAAAUUAUCUAAAGAAAGCUAUUUGGUGCACGGGACCAAUACAUUGCACUUCUAAUGGACUCAUGAAUGAUGUCAACUUAAUUAUUCUAUGCAUUGCGCAACCUGGAUAAAAUCAUAUUACUUGUUAGCUUGAGCAUUGAAUACUAUUUUACUACAGUAGCAGGCAUAAAAUUGUUUGAUGGAUUCUUAGUGCCAAAUGUUGAUGAAGUCGGUUCUGAAAAAUGUUGAAGAAAUCAAUGCUAAUACCAGAACUAAAAUUCAUUAAUAUUGUAUAAUAUAGCUUGUAUAAAUGAUAGAUCAUGUCUGUUUGUGUAGGUAAAGGUACCUUGCUUUCUUUUUUUGUUCUUCUUCCACAGAAGUCGAAUACAGCACACAAGUAGAGGAAACCCUGCCAGCGAAGAAAUGAUGAUGACUAUGACAAGCUUCUUUUUACGGUAAUUACCCCUUAUCUGACCUGCACAACAAAUUUUUGGAAUCAGGACUUUCGCUUCGGGUACAUUUCUUAUGAUAUGGAAUCUCAGUUAGAUAUCUUGGUCUACACUAACCUAUCAUAUAAAUGUAUUUUCCGACAAGUAUGUUAGAACAGAUAUACUAAUUUUCUUUCCACUCUGUCAUAAGACAAUGUUUCUAGAUUCAGCGUGCUGAUGAUCACAAACUUAACAGAACUAUAUCACCAAGUCACAUUCACUUAGAACCAUAUAAAGUAAAACAAUAUGGUUAUUUGGACAAAACCAACAAAAUAUGUUAAGAGGUCUAUGAUAAUCUCUUUAGUCAUCUACCCCCCUUUCUCUCAAUAAAGGAUAAUUUCUUUCGUCAUCCGAUGCAACCCAACAGCCAUAUCCCGCUCCUAAAAAGUUCCAAAUGUAGUCUAUAUUACUGGUACAUUCCACACCUGACUCGCGCCUUUUCCUUCCCCUCUCAGGAAAUAAUCGUUACCUAAUUCAGAAGAUGCAAGCCGAACAUAUAGACUCUCUCCUCCUUCGGUGAACAGUCGAAUAUCGACGAGAUCUCCGGUCCAUGUU
RNAcentral lists this long non-coding RNA (29169 nucleotides) under Elaeis guineensis (African oil palm). RNAcentral's name for it is "long non-coding RNA (EGUI_LNC001133)". Lineage: Eukaryota; Viridiplantae; Streptophyta; Magnoliopsida; Arecales; Arecaceae. The record is from RNAcentral.